AGUGGCGGACGGGUGAGUAACGCGUGAGAAUCUGCCUUGGGGUCGGGGACAACCACUGGAAACGGUGGCUAAUACCGGAUAAGCCGAUUGGUGAAAGAUUUAUUGCCCGAAGAGGAGCUCGCGUCUGAUUAGCUAGUUGGUGAGGUAAGAGCUCACCAAGGCAGCGAUCAGUAGCUGGUCUGAGAGGACGAUCAGCCACACUGGGACUGAGACACGGCCCAGACUCCUACGGGAGGCAGCAGUGGGGAAUUUUCCGCAAUGGUCGAAAGCCUGACGGAGCAAGACCGCGUGAGGGAGGAAGGCUCUUGGGUUGUAAACCUCUUUUCUCAGGGAAGAAGCUCUGACGGUACCUGAGGAAUCAGCCUCGGCUAACUCCGUGCCAGCAGCCGCGGUAAUACGGAGGAGGCAAGCGUUAUCCGGAAUUAUUGGGCGUAAAGCGUCCGCAGGUGGCGAUUCAAGUCUGCUGUCAAAGCACGGGGCUUAACUCCGUAAAGGCAGUGGAAACUGAAUAGCUAGAGUGCCGUAGGGGUAGAGGGAAUUCCCGGUGUAGCGGUGAAAUGCGUAGAGAUCGGGAAGAACAUCGGUGGCGAAAGCGCUCUACUGGACGGCAACUGACACUCAGGGACGAAAGCUAGGGGAGCGAAUGGGAUUAGAUACCCC
RNAcentral lists this ribosomal RNA (660 nucleotides) under uncultured bacterium. RNAcentral describes it as "bacterial SSU rRNA". It matches the Rfam family "Bacterial small subunit ribosomal RNA", at positions 94 to 788 of the family's 1533-position model. The record is from RNAcentral.